UCAGGCCUAACACAUGCAAGUCGAGCGGGGUUUUCGGACCUAGCGGCGGACGGGUGAGUAAUGCGUAGGAAGCUACCCGACAGAGGGGGAUACCAGUUGGAAACGACUGUUAAUACCGCAUAAUGUCUACGGACCAAAGUGUGGGACCUUCGGGCCACAUGCUGUCGGAUGCGCCUACGUGGGAUUAGCUAGUUGGUGAGGUAAUGGCUCACCAAGGCGACGAUCCCUAGCUGGUUUGAGAGGAUGAUCAGCCACACUGGAACUGAGACACGGUCCAGACUCCUACGGGAGGCAGCAGUGGGGAAUAUUGGACAAUGGGCGCAAGCCUGAUCCAAAGAGGCCGCGUGUGUAAAGAAGGCCUUCGGG
This 366-nucleotide ribosomal RNA is filed under the name uncultured bacterium. RNAcentral describes it as "bacterial SSU rRNA". It matches the Rfam family "Bacterial small subunit ribosomal RNA", at positions 43 to 422 of the family's 1533-position model. The record is from RNAcentral.